GACUGCUUGCCGCAAUGGUAGCGCGUUCGACUCCUGAUCGAAAGGUUGGGCGUUCGAUCCGCUCAUCAUUGA
This is a non-coding RNA of Caenorhabditis brenneri, 72 nucleotides long. Lineage: Eukaryota; Metazoa; Nematoda; Chromadorea; Rhabditida; Rhabditidae. The record is from Rfam.